AGCUGUUUUGGAACUACAAUUCCCAUCUUCCCUGACCGCUGGUCCUGUUAGCUAGGGAUGCUGGGAGUUGUAGUCCCAAAACAGCU
Molecule: microRNA precursor, 86 nt
Filed under: Podarcis lilfordi (Lilford's wall lizard)
Lineage: Eukaryota; Metazoa; Chordata; Lepidosauria; Squamata; Lacertidae
Source: RNAcentral